CCUUAUCGUUUAGUAAGAUCAAAUUUCUAAAUGAUGUUUCGUUCCAGUUGAACAUUCUUGGAGGCUUAUCUCUUCCCUGGCCAGAUGCCUGAUCAGAUGAGAAGCCCGCCAUGAUACUGUCACAGUGCCUAGAAUGGGCUCUUUAUCCAGUAGACACCACUGUACUUUUUGAUACGAGGGCAGUCUUAACUUGUGUUAAGGCCUGUGUGUAGCAUUGAAGAGAGGAGUUGCUUAAACCAAUGGGACUAAAACCUGAUGGGACAAUAACGCCUUUGGAGGAAGCACUCAACCAGUACUCUGUCAUCGAAGAGACCAGCUCUGACACAGACUAAAAGCAUCACCUGCUCAACUCUCAAUAUUGCUUUAUCAGCAUCUUUUCUCUGUAGCUCCAGGGGAAUCUUUUCUCUAAAACAUUUAUGCCCUUGCUUUGGCUAGAAACACAUUAACUGGUUUACUCAUUGAGAAUCCAGCAUAUUUAAGAGGUGACCCUGUGUUUUUUGUGAUAUUGAGGCAUUCAUACAGAGCUGCAGUUAGACGGGGUUACGGGGGCUAAAAGCAGAAAAAAA
Molecule: small RNA, 566 nt
Filed under: Pan troglodytes (chimpanzee)
Lineage: Eukaryota; Metazoa; Chordata; Mammalia; Primates; Hominidae
Description: retained intron
Source: RNAcentral